UACGUAGGGUGCAAGCGUUAAUCGGAAUUACUGGGCGUAAAGCGUGCGCAGGCGGUUUCGUAAGUCUGUCGUGAAAUCCCCGGGCUUAACCUGGGAAUGGCGAUGGAGACUGCGAGGCUAGAGUUUGGCAGAGGGGGGUAGAAUUCCACGUGUAGCAGUGAAAUGCGUAGAGAUGUGGAGGAACACCGAUGGCGAAGGCAGCCCCCUGGGCUAGCACUGACGCUCAGGCACGAAAGCGUGGGGAGCAAACAGG
RNAcentral lists this ribosomal RNA (253 nucleotides) under uncultured bacterium. RNAcentral's name for it is "partial 16S ribosomal RNA". It matches the Rfam family "Bacterial small subunit ribosomal RNA", at positions 524 to 776 of the family's 1533-position model. The record is from RNAcentral.